CCUACGGGAGGCAGCAGUGGGGAAUAUUGCGCAAUGGGGAAACCCUGACGCAGCAACGCCGCGUGAGUGAGGAAGGACUUCGGUCUGUAAAGCUCUGUUAAUGUGGAAAAAUGGUAGUUGGUCUAAUAGGCCGAUUAUUUGAUGGUACACAUAGAGGAAGCACCGGCUAACUUCGUGCCAGCAGCCGCGGUAAUACGAAGGGUGCAAGCGUUGUUCGGAUUUAUUGGGCGUAAAGCGCGCGUAGGCGGACCUGUAAGUCAGAUGUGAAAUCUCGGGGCUCAACCUCGAAACUGCGUCUGAAACUGCAGGUCUAGAAUCUCGGAGGGGGAAGGGGAAUUUCGCAUGUAGGGGUAAAAUCCGUAGAUAUGCGAAGGAACACCAGAGGCGAAGGCGCCUUCCUGGACGAGUAUUGACGCUGAGGCGCGAAAGCGUGGGGAUCAAACAGGAUUAGAUACCCUGGUAGUCCACGCUGUAAACUAUGAAACACUAGGUAUUGGAGGAUUUGACCCCCUUNAGUGCCGUAGCUAACGCGUUAAGUGUUCCGCCUGGGAAGUACGGUCGCAAGACUAAAACNCAAANAGAGUAGAGCGUGAGACGNGCGACGGACGACGACGAGGGAGGAGG
Molecule: ribosomal RNA, 624 nt
Filed under: uncultured bacterium
Lineage: Bacteria
Description: bacterial SSU rRNA
Rfam family: Bacterial small subunit ribosomal RNA
Source: RNAcentral